RNAcentral lists this ribosomal RNA (425 nucleotides) under Agrobacterium sp. gl24. RNAcentral describes it as "bacterial SSU rRNA". It matches the Rfam family "Bacterial small subunit ribosomal RNA", at positions 9 to 462 of the family's 1533-position model. The record is from RNAcentral. Lineage: Bacteria; Pseudomonadati; Pseudomonadota; Alphaproteobacteria; Hyphomicrobiales; Rhizobiaceae.
GGAGUUUGAUCCUGGCUCAGAACGAACGCUGGCGGCAGGCUUAACACAUGCAAGUCGAACGCCCCGCAAGGGGAGUGGCAGACGGGUGAGUAACGCGUGGGAACAUACCCUUUCCUGCGGAAUAGCCUCGGGAAACUGGGAUUAAUACCGUAUACGCCCUUCGGGGGAAAGAUUUAUCGGCAAAGGAUUGGCCCGCGUUGGAUUAGGUAGUUGGUGGGGUAAAGGCCUACCAAGGCGACGAUCCAUAGCUGGUCUGAGAGGAUGAUCAGCCACAUUGGGACUGAGACACGGCCCAAACUCCUACGGGAGGCAGCAGUGGGGAAUAUUAGACAAUGGGCGCAAGCCUGAUCCAGCCAUGCCGCGUGAGUGAUGAAGGCCUUAGGGUUGUAAAGCUCUUUCAGUCGGAGAAGAUAAUGACUGGACUC